This 115-nucleotide ribosomal RNA is filed under the name Danio rerio (zebrafish). Lineage: Eukaryota; Metazoa; Chordata; Actinopteri; Cypriniformes; Danionidae. The record is from RNAcentral.
GCUGGCAGCUAGCUCUCUGCAACUCUUACAUGGUCGCCCAAUGAAGCUAUGCAGGGCUGUGCCUGCUCAGUACCUGGAUAGGAGACCACAUGAGAAACCUAGGUUGCUGCCGGAA